Neomonachus schauinslandi (Hawaiian monk seal) is the source of this 101-nucleotide long non-coding RNA. RefSeq lists it as uncharacterized. NCBI's taxonomy places the organism in Eukaryota, Metazoa, Chordata, Mammalia, Carnivora, Phocidae. The record is from RefSeq and is a predicted model, not a curated record. The transcript has 3 exons.
CUUCCCGGCUCGGCCUGACGUUAGGCAGGAUGCAGAACUGAAUGUGGCACGACUGAUCACGCGAAGGAGGCGCGUCUGCUUGAGGGUCAUCAAGACAAUCA